GACGAACGCUGUCGGCGUGCUUAACACAUGCAAGUCGAACGGAAAGGCCCUGCUUUUGUGGGGUGCUCGAGUGGCGAACGGGUGAGUAACACGUGAGUAACCUGCCCUUGACUUUGGGAUAACUUCAGGAAACUGGGGCUAAUACCGGAUAGGAGCUCCUGCUGCAUGGUGGGGGUUGGAAAGUUUCGGCGGUUGGGGAUGGACUCGCGGCUUAUCAGCUUGUUGGUGGGGUAGUGGCUUACCAAGGCUUUGACGGGUAGCCGGCCUGAGAGGGUGACCGGCCACAUUGGGACUGAGAUACGGCCCAGACUCCUACGGGAGGCAGCAGUGGGGAAUAUUGCACAAUGGGCGGAAGCCUGAUGCAGCAACGCCGCGUGCGGGAUGACGGCCUUCGGGUUGUAAACCGCCUUCGCCUGUGACGAAGCGUGAGUGACGGUAAUGGGUAAAGAAGCACCGGCUAACUACGUGCCAGCAGCCGCGGUGAUACGUAGGGUGCGAGCGUUGUCCGGAUUUAUUGGGCGUAAAGGGCUCGUAGGUGGUUGAUCGCGUCGGAAGUGUAAUCUUGGGGCUUAGCCCUGAGCGUGCUUUCGAUACGGGUUGACUUGAGGAAGGUAGGGGAGAAUGGAAUUCCUGGUGGAGCGGUGGAAUGCGCAGAUAUCAGGAGGAACACCAGUGGCGAAGGCGGUUCUCUGGGCCUUUCCUGACGCUGAGGAGCGAAAGCGUGGGGAGCGAACAGGCUUAGAUACCCUGGUAGUCCACGCUGUAAACGGUGGGUACUAGGUGUGGGGUCCAUUCCACGGGUUCCGUGCCGUAGCUAACGCUUUAAGUACCCCGCCUGGGGAGUACGGCCGCAAGGCUAAGACUCAAAGGAAUUGACGGGGCCCCGCACAAGCGGCGGAGCAUGCGGAUUAAUUCGAUGCAACGCGUAGAACCUUACCUGGGUUUGACAUGGAUCGGGAGUGCUCAGAGAUGGGUGUGCCUCUUUUGGGGUCGGUUCACAGGUGGUGCAUGGCUGUCGUCAGCUCGUGUCGUGAGAUGUUGGGUUAAGUCCCGCAACGAGCGCAACCCUUGUUCACUGUUGCCAGCACGUUAUGGUGGGGACUCAGUGGAGACCGCCGGGGUCAACUCGGAGGAAGGUGGGGAUGACGUCAAGUCAUCACGCCCCUUAUGUCCAGGGCUUCACGCAUGCUACAAUGGCUGGUACAGAGAGUGGCGAGCCUGUGAGGGUGAGCGAAUCUCGGAAAGCCGGUCUCAGUUCGGAUUGGGGUCUGCAACUCGACCUCAUGAAGUCGGAGUCGCUAGUAAUCGCAGAUCAGCAACGCUGCGGUGAAUACGUUCCCGGGGCU
This 1346-nucleotide ribosomal RNA is filed under the name uncultured bacterium. RNAcentral's name for it is "partial 16S ribosomal RNA". It matches the Rfam family "Bacterial small subunit ribosomal RNA", at positions 28 to 1381 of the family's 1533-position model. The record is from RNAcentral.